GGAAAAGUUGUUUUUGUUUGUAGCUGAUUUGUUUUUCAAAGUCAGAAAAGUUUUAUUCCAUUCAGAUAUUUUGGACGGAUAUUCUAGAUAAAAGGGACCUGUUUCAUCGUUUCGUGAAGUCCUAUUUAAGGGUGAUGACACAAAUUUCACCAAACACUGCUCAGAUUACACAGUUCCAUUGAAAAAUGAAACUGGAUUUUCCCCAUUUGUGUUAAGAUCGAGCACCUCUGCUAAACAUUAUGCUACGGUUAAUGCGAGAAUGUUCACAGUUCUUAGCAGAUUUGUGUAGUUUAUUGUAUAAAUAAUAAAACAAUGUCCCUCCAGUUUAGAAUUUAUUGACCGUUGGGAUUAUGCACGUCGUCAUGAUGAA
This is a long non-coding RNA of Culex quinquefasciatus (southern house mosquito), 370 nucleotides long. RefSeq lists it as uncharacterized. The transcript is spliced from 2 exons. Lineage: Eukaryota; Metazoa; Arthropoda; Insecta; Diptera; Culicidae. The record is from RefSeq and is a predicted model, not a curated record.